This 396-nucleotide ribosomal RNA is filed under the name uncultured bacterium. RNAcentral's name for it is "bacterial SSU rRNA". It matches the Rfam family "Bacterial small subunit ribosomal RNA", at positions 29 to 416 of the family's 1533-position model. The record is from RNAcentral.
AACGAACGCUGGCGGCGCGCUUAACACAUGCAAGUCGAACGAGAAGGCGUAGCAAUACGCUUGUACAGUGGCGAACGGGUGAGUAAUACGUGGGCGACCUACCCUCGAGUGGGGAAUAACCCGCCGAAAGGCGGGCUAAUGCCGCGUACGCUUCCAUCUUUAUGGAGGUGGAAGGAAAGCCGUGCCGUGGGCACGGCGCUCAAGGAUGGGCUCACGUCCUAUCAGCUUGUUGGAGGGUAACGGCCUACCAAGGCUCCGACGGGUAGCUGGUCUGAGAGGACGAUCAGCCACACUGGCACUGCGACACGGGCCAGACUCCUACGGGAGGCAGCAGUGAGGAAUAUUGCGCAAUGGGCGAAAGCCUGACGCAGCGACGCCGCGUGGGGGAUGAAGGUC